RNAcentral lists this transfer RNA (72 nucleotides) under Camelus bactrianus (Bactrian camel). It matches the Rfam family "tRNA". From Rfam's summary of the family: Transfer RNA (tRNA) molecules are approximately 80 nucleotides in length. Their secondary structure includes four short double-helical elements and three loops (D, anti-codon, and T loops). The record is from Rfam by way of RNAcentral. Lineage: Eukaryota; Metazoa; Chordata; Mammalia; Artiodactyla; Camelidae. RNAcentral also lists the same sequence under 1 other name.
GGGAGUAUAGCUCAGUGGUAGAGUGCGUGCUUAGCAUGCACUAGGUCCUGGGUUCAAUCCCCAGUACCUCCA